AUUUUGGACAAUGGGGGAAACCCUGAUCCAGCCAUCCCGCGUGUAUGAUGAAGGCCUUCGGGUUGUAAAGUACUUUUGGCAGAGAAGAAAAGGUACCUCCUAAUACGAGGUACGGCUGACGGUAUCUGCAGAAUAAGCACCGGCUAACUAAGUGCCAGCAGCCGCGGGAAUAAGUAGGGUGCAAGCGAUAAUCGGACUUACUGGGCGUAAAGCGUGUGUAGGCAGUUCGGAAAGAAAGAUGUGAAAUCCCAGGGCUCAACCUUGGAACUGCAUUUUUAACUGCCGAGCUAGAGUAUGUCAGAGGGGGGUAGAAUUCCACGUGUAGCAGUGAAAUGCGUAGAUAUGUAGAGGAAUACCGAUGGCGAAGGCAGCCGCCUGGGAUAAUACUGACGCUCAGACACGAAAGCGUGGGGAGCAAAC
Molecule: ribosomal RNA, 420 nt
Filed under: uncultured bacterium
Lineage: Bacteria
Description: partial 16S ribosomal RNA
Rfam family: Bacterial small subunit ribosomal RNA
Source: RNAcentral